AAUACGCGUGUGUGAAGAAGGCCUGAGGGUUGUAAAGCACUUUCAAUAGGAAGGAAUACCUAUCGGUUAAUACCCGGUAGACUGACAUUACCUAUACAAGAAGCACCGGCUAACUCCGUGCCAGCAGCCGCGGUAAUACGGAGGGUGCAAGCGUUAAUCGGAAUUACUGGGCGUAAAGCGUGCGUAGGCGGUUAUUUAAGUCAGAUGUGAAAGCCCUGGGCUUAACCUGGGAACUGCAUUUGAUACUGGAUGACUAGAGUUGAGUAGAGGAGAGUGGAAUUUCAGGUGUAGCGGUGAAAUGCGUAGAGAUCUGAAGGAACACCAGUGGCGAAGGCGGCUCUCUGGACUCAAACUGACGCUGAGGUACGAAAGCGUGGGUAGCAAACAGGAUUAGAUACCCUGGUAGUCCACGCCGUACACGAUGUCAACUAACCGUUGGGUUCUUAAAGAACUUAGUGGUGGAGCUAACGUAUUAAGUUGACCGCCUGCGGAGUACGGCCGCAAGGCUAAAACCUCAAAUGAAUUGACGGGGGCCCCG
Molecule: ribosomal RNA, 538 nt
Filed under: uncultured bacterium
Lineage: Bacteria
Description: bacterial SSU rRNA
Rfam family: Bacterial small subunit ribosomal RNA
Source: RNAcentral